UACGAAGGACCCAAGCGUUAUCCGGAUUUAUUGGGUUUAAAGGGUGCGUAGGCGGGUUAUUAAGUCAGUGGUGAAAGCCUACAGCUUAACUGUAGAACUGCCAUUGAUACUGAUAGUCUUGAGUAUGAUUGAGGUGGGCGGAAUGUGUCAUGUAGCGGUGAAAUGCUUAGAUAUGACACAGAACACCGAUUGCGAAGGCAGCUCACUAAGCCAUAACCGACGCGGAUGCACGAAAGCGUGGGGAGCAAACAGG
RNAcentral lists this ribosomal RNA (253 nucleotides) under uncultured bacterium. Its description in RNAcentral is "partial 16S ribosomal RNA". It matches the Rfam family "Bacterial small subunit ribosomal RNA", at positions 524 to 776 of the family's 1533-position model. The record is from RNAcentral.